Molecule: non-coding RNA, 45 nt
Organism: Schistosoma margrebowiei
Lineage: Eukaryota; Metazoa; Platyhelminthes; Trematoda; Strigeidida; Schistosomatidae
Source: Rfam
AUCCAGCUGACGAGUACCAAAUAGCACGGGACACGCGUCCUGGAU